GGUAUAAGAUGGACUCGCGUCUGAUUAGCUUGUUGGUGAGGUAACGGCUCACCAAGGCGACGAUCAGUAGCCGGCCUGAGAGGGUGAACGGCCACAUUGGGACUGAGACACGGCCCAAACUCCUACGGGAGGCAGCAGUGGGGAAUAUUGCACAAUGGGGGAAACCCUGAUGCAGCGACGCCGCGUGAGUGAUGAAGUAUUUCGGUAUGUAAAAUUCUAUCAUCAGGGAAGAUAAUGACGGUUCCUGAAUAAGAAGCACCGGCUAAAUACGUGCCAGCAGCCGCGGUAAUACGUAUGGUAGCAAGCGUUAUCCGGAUUUACUGGGUGUAAAGGGUGCGUAGGUGGUAUGGCAAGUCAGAAGUGAAAGUCUGGGGCUCAACCCCGGGACUGCUAUUUGAAACUGUCGAGCUAGAGUGCAGGAGAGGAAAGCGGAAUUCCUAGUGUAGCGGUGAAAUGCGUAGAUAUUAGGAGGAACACCAGUGGCGAAGGCGGCUUUCUGGACUGAAACUGACACUGAGGCACGAAAGCGUGGGGAGCAAACAGGAUUAGAUACCCUGGUAGUCCACGCCGUAAACGAUGAAUUUUAGGUGUCGGGCAGCUUAGCUGCUUGGUGCCGCAGCAAACGCAUUAUGUAUUCCACCUGGGGAGUGCGUUCGCAAGAAUGAAACUCUAAGGAAUUAGACGGGGACCCGCACACGCGCUGGAGCAUGUGGUUUAAUUUGAAGCAACGCGAAGAACCUCCUCAGGUCUUGAUAUCCUCGAUGACCGCUUAUUAAUGGAAGCUUUUGUUCCGAACAUCGGAGACAGGUGGUGCAUGGUCGUGGUCAUCUCGUGUCGUGAGAUGUUGGGUUAAGUCCCGCUCCGAGCGCAACCCCUAUUUUCAGUAGCCAGCAUUUUGCAUGGGCACUCUGGAGAGACUGCCCGGGAUAACCGGGAGGAAGGUGGGGAUGACGUCAAAUCAUCAUGCCCCUUAUGAUCUGGGCUACACACGUGAUACAAUGGCUGUUACAGAGAGAAGGGAAUCCGCGAGGAAGAGCAAACCUCAAAAAGGCAGUCUCAGUUCGGAAUGUAGUCUGCAACUCGCCUACAUGAAGUUGGAAUCGCUAGUAAUCGCGAAUCAGAAUGUCGCGGUGAAUACAAUGCCGGGUCUUGCACUCACCGCCCGUCA
RNAcentral lists this ribosomal RNA (1168 nucleotides) under uncultured bacterium. RNAcentral describes it as "bacterial SSU rRNA". It matches the Rfam family "Bacterial small subunit ribosomal RNA", at positions 217 to 1399 of the family's 1533-position model. The record is from RNAcentral.